Molecule: ribosomal RNA, 451 nt
Filed under: uncultured bacterium
Lineage: Bacteria
Description: bacterial SSU rRNA
Rfam family: Bacterial small subunit ribosomal RNA
Source: RNAcentral
AACGAACGCUGGCGGCAGGCUUAACACAUGCAAGUCGAACGGUUGUAGCAAUACAGCAGUGGCAGACGGGUGAGUAACACGUGGGAACCUUCCUAGGGGGUACGGAACAACUCAGGGAAACUUGAGCUAAUACCGUAUACGUCCGUGAGGAGAAGGAUUUAUCGCCCUUAGACGGGCCCGCGUCGGAUUAGCUAGUUGGUGGGGUAACGGCCUACCAAGGCGACGAUCCGUAGCUGAUCUUAGAGGAUGAUCAGCCACACUGGGACUGAGACACGGCCCAGACUCCUACGGGAGGCAGCAGUGGGGAAUCUUGGACAAUGGGCGCAAGCCUGAUCCAGCCAUGCCGCGUGAGUGAAGAAGGUCUUCGGAUUGUAAAGCUCUUUGCCAGGGACGAAAUGACGGUACCUGGAGAAUAAGCCCCGGCAAACUUCGUGCCAGCAGCCGCGGUAAU